This 553-nucleotide ribosomal RNA is filed under the name uncultured Mycobacterium sp. Its description in RNAcentral is "bacterial SSU rRNA". It matches the Rfam family "Bacterial small subunit ribosomal RNA", at positions 268 to 833 of the family's 1533-position model. The record is from RNAcentral. Lineage: Bacteria; Bacillati; Actinomycetota; Actinomycetes; Mycobacteriales; Mycobacteriaceae.
CCAAGGCGACGACGGGUAGCCGGCCUGAGAGGGUGUCCGGCCACACUGGGACUGAGAUACGGCCCAGACUCNUACGGGAGGCAGCAGUGGGGAAUAUUGCACAAUGGGCGCAAGCCUGAUGCAGCGACGCCGCGUUGGGGAUGACGGCCUUCGGGUUGUAAACCUCUUUCAGCAGGGACGAAGCGCAAGUGACGGUACCUGCAGAAGAAGCACCGGCCAACUACGUGCCAGCAGCCGCGGUAAUACGUAGGGUGCGAGCGUUGUCCGGAAUUACUGGGCGUAAAGAGCUCGUAGGUGGUUUGUCGCGUUGUUCGUGAAAUCUCACGGCUUAACUGUGAGCGUGCGGGCGAUACGGGCGGACUGGAGUACUGCAGGGGAGACUGGAAUUCCUGGUGUAGCGGUGGAAUGCGCAGAUAUCAGGAGGAACACCGGUGGCGAAGGCGGGUCUCUGGGCAGUAACUGACGCUGAGGAGCGAAAGCGUGGGGAGCGAACAGGAUUAGAUACCCUGGUAAUCCACGCCGUAAACGGUGGGUACUAUGUGUGGGUUUCCUU